This 1531-nucleotide ribosomal RNA is filed under the name Salmonella enterica subsp. indica. RNAcentral's name for it is "bacterial SSU rRNA". It matches the Rfam family "Bacterial small subunit ribosomal RNA". Lineage: Bacteria; Pseudomonadati; Pseudomonadota; Gammaproteobacteria; Enterobacterales; Enterobacteriaceae. The record is from RNAcentral.
AGAGUUUGAUCAUGGCUCAGAUUGAACGCUGGCGGCAGGCCUAACACAUGCAAGUCGAACGGUAACAGGAAGCAGCUUGCUGCUUCGCUGACGAGUGGCGGACGGGUGAGUAAUGUCUGGGAAACUGCCUGGUGGAGGGGGAUAACUACUGGAAACGGUGGCUAAUACCGCAUAACGUCGCAAGACCAAAGAGGGGGACCUUCGGGCCUCUUGCCAUCAGAUGUGCCCAGAUGGGAUUAGCUUGUUGGUGAGGUAACGGCUCACCAAGGCGACGAUCCCUAGCUGGUCUGAGAGGAUGACCAGCCACACUGGAACUGAGACACGGUCCAGACUCCUACGGGAGGCAGCAGUGGGGAAUAUUGCACAAUGGGCGCAAGCCUGAUGCAGCCAUGCCGCGUGUAUGAAGAAGGCCUUCGGGUUGUAAAGUACUUUCAGCGGGGAGGAAGGUGUUGUGGUUAAUAACCACAGCAAUUGACGUUACCCGCAGAAGAAGCACCGGCUAACUCCGUGCCAGCAGCCGCGGUAAUACGGAGGGUGCAAGCGUUAAUCGGAAUUACUGGGCGUAAAGCGCACGCAGGCGGUCUGUCAAGUCGGAUGUGAAAUCCCCGGGCUCAACCUGGGAACUGCAUUCGAAACUGGCAGGCUUGAGUCUUGUAGAGGGGGGUGGAAUUCCAGGUGUAGCGGUGAAAUGCGUAGAGAUCUGGAGGAAUACCGGUGGCGAAGGCGGCCCCCUGGACAAAGACUGACGCUCAGGUGCGAAAGCGUGGGGGAGCAAACAGGAUUAGAUACCCUGGUAGUCCACGCCGUAAACGAUGUCUACUUGGAGGUUGUGCCCUUGAGGCGUGGCUUCCGGAGCUAACGCGUUAAGUAGACCGCCUGGGGAGUACGGCCGCAAGGUUAAAACUCAAAUGAAUUGACGGGGGCCCGCACAAGCGGUGGAGCAUGUGGUUUAAUUCGAUGCAACGCGAAGAACCUUACCUGGUCUUGACAUCCACGGAAGGUCUCAGAGAUGAGACUGUGCCUUCGGGAGCCGUGAGACAGGUGCUGCAUGGCUGUCGUCAGCUCGUGUUGUGAAAUGUUGGGUUAAGUCCCGCAACGAGCGCAACCCUUAUCCUUUGUUGCCAGCGGUCCGGCCGGGAACUCAAAGGAGACUGCCAGUGAUAAACUGGAGGAAGGUGGGGAUGACGUCAAGUCAUCAUGGCCCUUACGACCAGGGCUACACACGUGCUACAAUGGCGCAUACAAAGAGAAGCGACCUCGCGAGAGCAAGCGGACCUCAUAAAGUGCGUCGUAGUCCGGAUUGGAGUCUGCAACUCGACUCCAUGAAGUCGGAAUCGCUAGUAAUCGUGGAUCAGAAUGCCACGGUGAAUACGUUCCCGGGCCUUGUACACACCGCCCGUCACACCAUGGGAGUGGGUUGCAAAAGAAGUAGGUAGCUUAACCUUCGGGAGGGCGCUUACCACUUUGUGAUUCAUGACUGGGGUGAAGUCGUAACAAGGUAACCGUAGGGGAACCUGCGGUUGGAUCACCU